GACGAACGCUGGCGGCGUGCUUAACACAUGCAAGUCGAACGGAAAGGCCCUGCUUUUGUGGGGUGCUCGAGUGGCGAACGGGUGAGUAACACGUGAGUAACCUGCCCUUGACUUUGGGAUAACUUCAGGAAACUGGGGCUAAUACCGGAUAGGAGCUCCUGCUGCAUGGUGGGGGUUGGAAAGUUUCGGCGGUUGGGGAUGGACUCGCGGCUUAUCAGCUUGUUGGUGGGGUAGUGGCUUACCAAGGCUUUGACGGGUAGCCGGCCUGAGAGGGUGACCGGCCACAUUGGGACUGAGAUACGGCCCAGACUCCUACGGGAGGCAGCAGUGGGGAAUAUUGCACAAUGGGCGGAAGCCUGAUGCAGCAACGCCGCGUGCGGGAUGACGGCCUUCGGGUUGUAAACCGCUUUCGCCUGUGACGAGGCGUGAGUGACGGUAAUGGGUAAAGAAGCACCGGCUAACUACGUGCCAGCAGCCGCGGUGAUACGUAGGGUACGAGCGUUGUCCGGAUUUAUUGGGCGUAAAGGGCUCGUAGGUGGUUGAUCGCGUCGGAAGUGUAAUCUUGGGGCUUAACCCUGAGCGUGCUUUCGAUACGGGUUGACUUGAGGAAGGUAGGGGAGAAUGGAAUUCCUGGUGGAGCGGUGGAAUGCGCAGAUAUCAGGAGGAACACCAGUGGCGAAGGCGGUUCUCUGGGCCUUUCCUGACGCUGAGGAGCGAAAGCGUGGGGAGCGAACAGGCUUAGAUACCCUGGUAGUCCACGCUGUAAACGGUGGGUACUAGGUGUGGGGUCCAUUCCACGGGUUCCGUGCCGUAGCUAACGCUUUAAGUACCCCGCCUGGGGAGUACGGCCGCAAGGCUAAAACUCAAAGGAAUUGACGGGGCCCCGCACAAGCGGCGGAGCAUGCGGAUUAAUUCGAUGCAACGCGUAGAACCUUACCUGGGUUUGACAUGGAUCGGGAGCGCUCAGAGAUGGGUGUGCCUCUUUUGGGGUCGGUUCACAGGUGGUGCAUGGCUGUCGUCAGCUCGUGUCGUGAGAUGUUGGGUUAAGUCCCGCAACGAGCGCAACCCUUGUUCACUGUUGCCAGCACGUUAUGGUGGGGACUCAGUGGAGACCGCCGGGGUCAACUCGGAGGAAGGUGGGGAUGACGUCAAGUCAUCAUGCCCCUUAUGUCCAGGGCUUCACGCAUGCUACAAUGGCUGGUACAGAGAGUGGCGAGCCUGUGAGGGUGAGCGAAUCUCGGAAAGCCGGUCUCAGUUCGGAUUGGGGUCUGCAACUCGACCUCAUGAAGUCGGAGUCGCUAGUAAUCGCAGAUCAGCAACGCUGCGGUGAAUACGUUCCCGGG
This 1343-nucleotide ribosomal RNA is filed under the name uncultured bacterium. RNAcentral describes it as "16S ribosomal RNA". It matches the Rfam family "Bacterial small subunit ribosomal RNA", at positions 28 to 1378 of the family's 1533-position model. The record is from RNAcentral.